RNAcentral lists this non-coding RNA (170 nucleotides) under bovine gut metagenome. RNAcentral describes it as "Lysine riboswitch". It matches the Rfam family "Lysine riboswitch aptamer". Rfam says of the family: Riboswitches are metabolite binding domains within certain messenger RNAs that serve as precision sensors for their corresponding targets. Allosteric rearrangement of mRNA structure is mediated by ligand binding, and this results in modulation of gene expression. This family includes riboswitches that sense lysine in a number of genes involved in lysine metabolism, including lysC. The record is from RNAcentral.
UGAUAGAGGCUGCGGUCACCAAGAGUAGCCCGCCUGACGCAGGCCAUGCGGACGGGGGAAAGGGGGGGAUCGCCGAGGAGCGGAGAAGAGCGCCUGAUCGGAUCCGCGUCCGGGGCUGCGGAGAAUAUCCGCAGCACUGUCGCCUCCCGCAGGGGGCGGAGAGCUGUCAG